Molecule: long non-coding RNA, 146 nt
Organism: Helianthus annuus (common sunflower)
Lineage: Eukaryota; Viridiplantae; Streptophyta; Magnoliopsida; Asterales; Asteraceae
Exons: 3
Source: RefSeq, a predicted model, not a curated record
UUACAUAGUCGAUUGGCUCCCGCUUCGUUUUUACCCAACAUGUGUCGAUUUCUUCAUCUCGAAGGGUUUUUAGAAUCCUCCAAUUGAUUUGAUAUUGAAUGUUCAUUUGUAAGGUAUAAUCACGAUAGUACAUCAUUGGCAGUGGU